UACGUAGGGUGCAGGCGUUAAUCGGAAUUACUGGGCGUAAAGCGUGCGCAGGCGGUUUCUUAAGUCAGAUGUGAAAGCCCCGGGCUUAACCUGGGAACUGCGUUUGAAACUGGGAGACUUGAGUGUGGCAGAGGGGGGUGGAAUUCCACGUGUAGCAGUGAAAUGCGUAGAUAUGUGGAGGAACACCAAUGGCGAAGGCAGCCCCCUGGGUCAACACUGACGCUCAUGCACGAAAGCGUGGGGAGCAAACAG
Molecule: ribosomal RNA, 252 nt
Filed under: uncultured bacterium
Lineage: Bacteria
Description: partial 16S ribosomal RNA
Rfam family: Bacterial small subunit ribosomal RNA
Source: RNAcentral